ACCUACUUAACUCAAUGGUUAGAGUAUCGCUUUCAUACGGCGAGAGUCAUUGGUUCAAGUCCAAUAGUAGGUA
RNAcentral lists this transfer RNA (73 nucleotides) under Apopellia endiviifolia. Its description in RNAcentral is "tRNA-Met". It matches the Rfam family "tRNA". Rfam says of the family: Transfer RNA (tRNA) molecules are approximately 80 nucleotides in length. Their secondary structure includes four short double-helical elements and three loops (D, anti-codon, and T loops). Lineage: Eukaryota; Viridiplantae; Streptophyta; Jungermanniopsida; Pelliales; Pelliaceae. The record is from RNAcentral.